UAGCUUGACGGCGGGGUAACGGCCCACCGUGGCAUCGAUCAGUAGGGGUUCUGAGAGGAAGGUCCCCCACAUUGGAACUGAGACACGGUCCAAACUCCUACGGGAGGCAGCAGUGAGGAAUAUUGGUCAAUGGACGAGAGUCUGAACCAGCCAAGUAGCGUGCAGGAUGACGGCCCUAUGGGUUGUAAACUGCUUUUAUAAGGGAAUAAAGUGAGUCUCGUGAGACUUUUUGCAUGUACCUUAUGAAUAAGGACCGGCUAAUUCCGUGCCAGCAGCCGCGGUAAUACGGAAGGUCCGGGCGUUAUCCGGAUUUAUUGGGUUUAAAGGGAGCGUAGGCCGGAGAUUAAGCGUGUUGUGAAAUGUAGACGCUCAACGUCUGCACUGCAGCGCGAACUGGUUUCCUUGAGUACGCACAAAGUGGGCGGAAUUCGUGGUGUAGCGGUGAAAUGCUUAGAUAUCACGAAGAACUCCGAUUGCGAAGGCAGCUCACUGGAGCGCAACUGACGCUGAAGCUCGAAAGUGCGGGUAUCGAACAGGAUUAGAUACCCUGGUAGUCCGCGCGGUAAACGAUGGAUGCCCGCUGUUGGUCUGAAUAGGUCAGCGGCCAAGCGAAAGCAUUAAGCAUCCCACCUGGGGAGUACGCCGGCAACGGUGAAACUCAAAGGAAUUGACGGGGGCCC
This 680-nucleotide ribosomal RNA is filed under the name uncultured bacterium. RNAcentral's name for it is "bacterial SSU rRNA". It matches the Rfam family "Bacterial small subunit ribosomal RNA", at positions 242 to 922 of the family's 1533-position model. The record is from RNAcentral.